UACGAAGGGGGGCUAGCGUUGCUCGGAAUUACUGGGCGUAAAGCGCACGUAGGCGGCUUUCUAAGUCGGGGGUGAAAUCCUGGAGCUCAACUCCAGAACUGCCUUCGAUACUGGAGAGCUCGAGUCCGGGGAGAGGUGAGUGGACUGCGAGUGUAGAGGUGAAAUUCGUAGAUAUUCGCAAGAACACCAGUGGCGAAGGCGGCUCACUGGCCCGGUACUGACGCUGAGGUGCGAAAGCGUGGGGAGCAAACAGG
RNAcentral lists this ribosomal RNA (254 nucleotides) under uncultured bacterium. RNAcentral describes it as "partial 16S ribosomal RNA". It matches the Rfam family "Bacterial small subunit ribosomal RNA", at positions 524 to 776 of the family's 1533-position model. The record is from RNAcentral.